This 115-nucleotide small RNA is filed under the name Frischella perrara. RNAcentral's name for it is "Alpha operon ribosome binding site". It matches the Rfam family "Alpha operon ribosome binding site". Rfam says of the family: The bacterial alpha operon ribosome binding site is surrounded by this complex pseudoknotted structure. Translation of the mRNA produces 4 ribosomal protein products, one of which (S4) acts as a translational repressor by binding to the nested pseudoknot region. The mechanism of repression is thought to involve a conformational switch in the pseudoknot region and ribosome entrapment. Lineage: Bacteria; Pseudomonadati; Pseudomonadota; Gammaproteobacteria; Orbales; Orbaceae. The record is from RNAcentral.
UUCCUUUAUUUGAGUAUCCUGAAAACGGGCUUUUCAGCAUAAAGGAAAUCAGUUAUUUUUUAUUAACAAAUAGGAGUGCAUAGUGGCCCGUAUCGCAGGCAUUAACAUUCCUGAU